UACGUAGGGGGCGAGCGUUAUCCGGAAUUACUGGGCGUAAAGCGCACGCAGGCGGUUCGCCAAGUUUGGAGUGACAGUUGUCGGCUCAACCGGCAAAGGACUUCAAAAACUGGUGAACUUGAGGACGAGAGAGGAACAUGGAACUCCAGGUGUAGUAGUGAAAUGCGUAGAUAUCAAGUGGAACACCAGUGGCGAAGGCGAGUCGCUGGACAUUUCCUGACGCUGAGGCACGAAAGCCAGGGGAGCAAACGGG
This 253-nucleotide ribosomal RNA is filed under the name uncultured bacterium. RNAcentral's name for it is "partial 16S ribosomal RNA". It matches the Rfam family "Bacterial small subunit ribosomal RNA", at positions 524 to 776 of the family's 1533-position model. The record is from RNAcentral.